GCCAAACACCGAUUUUUGUUUACUUUAUUAUGGCUAGCCCGUCUGGUCCGAUCCCACAGAAGAGCUACCGUAGCAGUGUGACGCUCUGGCAGGAUGAUGCGCCCUGACACACUGCAAACAUUGUUCAGGAACGGUCUGAGGAACAUGACGAAGAGUUCAAGGUGUUGACUCCGAUCUCAGUCCGAUCAGGCCUCUGUGGGACGAGUCCGAUCCAUGGAGGCCCCACCUCACAACCUACGGGACUAGUUGUACAGGAUCUGCUGCUAACGUCUCUAUGCCAGAUACCACAGCACACCUUCAGAGGUCUUGUGGAGUCCGUGCCUCGACGGGUCACAGCUAUUUUGGUGGCACAAGGUGGACGUACACAAUAUUAGGCUUCCUCAUCUCGAAAGGGAAAACCGAGACAUUUUCACCCUGAAGGGGUUUUCCCUGUAUAGCGAUGGACAGAAACAGGUGGGAUCCGGCUUUUAAUUUAAGCCCGGACUUCACCGUACGGGACACGGCAGCAUCAGCAGGGACAAGAUGGCACGGACAGAAAGUCCCACCGCUGACAUGUGAUCUCCCGCCGGUGUUCUCCACAGUGAAACCGUCCCUCGUCUGUAUCUCUACACUCUCGUCACCGUCCGGAACGUACCGCGUGACGCCGAAGAGCGUGGGCCGAUUUCUCGCCGGUUUCUUUACUUGGCGAUAAAAGAAACCGCAUCGGUCGUAUUUCUUUCGUCAAAACACACAGGCAGAGUGAAACUCGCUGCGUCAGAAACCCCAAACCUCAUUUCCUGCCACAGGAAGUUCACGACUAAUUAUACUGCAGUGUGAACGCACAGAGGCG
Molecule: long non-coding RNA, 829 nt
Organism: Ictalurus punctatus (channel catfish)
Lineage: Eukaryota; Metazoa; Chordata; Actinopteri; Siluriformes; Ictaluridae
Source: Ensembl